AUGGAGCACGGCCAGGCGACUAACCGCGUCGACGAGUACGGCAACCCGGUGGCCGGACAUGGCGUCGGCACCGGCAUGGGGGCGCACGGCGGCGUGGGCACCGGCGCGGCCGCUGGUGGGCAUUUCCAGCCCACGAGGGAGGAGCACAAGGCCGGAGGGAUCCUGCAGCGCUCCGGCAGCUCUAGUAGCUCCAGCUCGUCUGAGGAUGAUGGCAUGGGCGGGAGGAGGAAGAAGGGCAUCAAGGGGAAGAUCAAGGAGAAGCUCCCCGGUGGCCAUGGCGACCAGCAACAGACCGCUGGCACCUAUGGGCAGCAGGGUCACACCGGAAUGACCGGCACCGGGGCGCAUGGUACAGCAGCCACUGGCGGCACCUACGGGCAGCAAGGACAC
This 390-nucleotide ribosomal RNA is filed under the name Triticum aestivum (bread wheat). Its description in RNAcentral is "partial small subunit ribosomal RNA". The record is from RNAcentral. Lineage: Eukaryota; Viridiplantae; Streptophyta; Magnoliopsida; Poales; Poaceae.